This 1489-nucleotide ribosomal RNA is filed under the name marine metagenome. RNAcentral describes it as "bacterial LSU rRNA". It matches the Rfam family "Bacterial large subunit ribosomal RNA", at positions 1087 to 2591 of the family's 2925-position model. The record is from RNAcentral.
AGACAGCUAGGAUGUUGGCUUGGAAGCAGCCAUUCAUUUAAAGAGUGCGUAACAGCUCACUAGUCGAGCGAUCGGGCAUGGAUAAUAAACGGGCAUCAAGUGGUAUACCGAAGCUUUGGCUUUACAGCAAUGUAAGGGGUAGGGGAGCAUUCUAAUUGCAGUGAAGAUAUUCCGUCAGGAGUGUUGGAGCGAUUAGAAAAGCAAAUGUAGGCAUAAGUAACGAUAAGGCAGGCGAGAAACCUGCCCACCGAAAGACUAAGGUUUCCUGAUCAACGCUAAUCGGAUCAGGGUUAGUCGGGGCCUAAGGUGUAGCCGACAGGCGAAGCCGAUGGACAACUGGUUAAUAUUCCAGUACUUUGUUGUACUGCGAAGGGGAGACGGAGUAGUGAAAGAACCGCGAACUGACGGAAUAGUUCGUUAAAGCGAGUAGUUAUAUUUAGUGUAGGCAAAUCCGCACUGAAUGGCGAACGUGAUAGUACCAUAAGGCUUCGGCUGCGUGGAUAGUGUUCCUAAUCAGACUUCCAAGAAAAUCCUCUAAGCUUCAGGUACAACAAACCCGUACCGUAAACCGACACAGGUAGUCGAGGAGAGAAUCCUAAGGUGCUCGAGUGAUUCAUGGCUAAGGAACUCGGCAAAAUGGCCCUGUAACUUCGGGAGAAGGGGCGCCUCUAGCAAUAGAGGCCGCAGUGAAAAGGCCCAGGCGACUGUUUAACAAAAACACAUGGCUAUGCUAAAUCGAAAGAUGAUGUAUAUGGCCUGACACCUGCCCGGUGCUGGAAGGUUAAGAGGGGAUGUUAGUAGCAAUACGAAGCAUUGAAUCGAAGCCCCAGUAAACGGCGGCCGUAACUAUAACGGUCCUAAGGUAGCGAAAUUCCUUGUCGGGUAAGUUCCGACCUGCACGAAUGGUGUAACGAUCUGGGCGCUGUCUCAGCCAUGAGCUCGGUGAAAUUGUGGUAUCGGUGAAGACGCCGGUUACCCGCAACGGGACGGAAAGACCCCAUGCACCUUCACUAUAGCUUAACAUUGAUUUUGGAUACAAGAUGUGUAGGAUAGGUGGGAGGCUAUGAGCCGGUAUCGCUAGGUAUCGGGGAGCCAACGUUGAAAUACCACCCUUUUUGUAUUCGGAAUCUAACCCGCCCAAGGCGGGGACAUUGUUUGGUGGGUAGUUUGACUGGGGUGGUCGCCUCCAAAAGAGUAACGGAGGCUUUCAAAGGUAUGCUCAGUACGCUUGGUAACCGUACGAGGAGUGCAAUAGCAUAAGCAUGCUUGACUGUGAGGCCGACAAGCCGAUCAGGUACGAAAGUAGGAUAUAGUGAUCCGGUGGUUCUGCAUGGAAGGGCCAUCGCUCAAAGGAUAAAAGGUACGCUGGGGAUAACAGGCUGAUCUCCCCCAAGAGCUCAUAUCGACGGGGAGGUUUGGCACCUCGAUGUCGGCUCGUCACAUCCUGGGGCUGGAGAAGGUCCCAAGGGUUGGGCUGUUCGCCCAUUAA